GAAAUGCGAUAAGUAAUGUGAAUUGCAGAAUUCAGUGAAUAAUCGAAUCUUUGAACGCACAUUGCGCCCGCCAGUAUUCUGGCGGGCAUGCCUGUCCGAGCGUCAUUUCAACCAUCAAGCCCCCGGGCUUGUGUUGGGGACCUGCGGCUGCCCGCAGGCCCUGAAAACCAGUGGCGGGCUCGCUGUCACACCGAGCGUAGUAGCAAUCACCUCGCUCAGGGCGUGCUGCGGGUUCCGGCCGUUAAACAGCCUUACAAAACCCAAGGUUGACCUCGGAUCAGGUAGGAAGACCCGCUGAACUUAAGC
RNAcentral lists this unclassified non-coding RNA (306 nucleotides) under plant metagenome. RNAcentral's name for it is "partial contains 5.8S ribosomal RNA, internal transcribed spacer 2, and large subunit ribosomal RNA". The stretch from base 1 to 105 matches the Rfam family "5.8S ribosomal RNA", at positions 50 to 154 of the family's 154-position model. The record is from RNAcentral.